UGGGGAAUAUUGCACAAUGGGCGCAAGCCUGAUGCAGCCAUGCCGCGUGUGUGAAGAAGGCCUUCGGGUUGUAAAGCACUUUCAGUCGUGAGGAAGGUAGUGUAGUUAAUAGCUGCAUUAUUUGACGUUAGCGACAGAAGAAGCACCGGCUAACUCCGUGCCAGCAGCCGCGGUAAUACGGAGGGUGCGAGCGUUAAUCGGAAUUACUGGGCGUAAAGCGCAUGCAGGUGGUUUGUUAAGUCAGAUGUGAAAGCCCGGGGCUCAACCUCGGAAUAGCAUUUGAAACUGGCAGACUAGAGUACUGUAGAGGGGGGUAGAAGUUUCAGGUGUAGCGGUGAAAUGCGUAGAGAUCUGAAGGAAUACCGGUGGCGAAGGCGGCCCCCUGGACAGAUACUGACACUCAGAUGCGAAAAGCGUGGGGAGCAAACAGGAUUAGAUACCCUGGUAGUCCACGCCGUAAACGAUGUCUACUUGGAGGUUGUGGCCUUGAGCCGUGGCUUUCGGAGCUAACGCGUUAAGUAGACCGCCUGGGAGUACGGUCGC
RNAcentral lists this ribosomal RNA (543 nucleotides) under uncultured bacterium. Its description in RNAcentral is "bacterial SSU rRNA". It matches the Rfam family "Bacterial small subunit ribosomal RNA", at positions 355 to 889 of the family's 1533-position model. The record is from RNAcentral.